Molecule: ribosomal RNA, 253 nt
Filed under: uncultured bacterium
Lineage: Bacteria
Description: partial 16S ribosomal RNA
Rfam family: Bacterial small subunit ribosomal RNA
Source: RNAcentral
UACGGAGGGUGCAAGCGUUAAUCGGAAUUACUGGGCGUAAAGCGUGCGUAGGUGGUUCGUUAAGUCCGUUGUGAAAGCCCCGAGCUCAACUUGGGAAUUGCAGUGGAUACUGGCAGGCUAGAGUGCGGUAGAGGGUAGUGGAAUUCCCGGUGUAGCGGUGAAAUGCGUAGAGAUCGGGAGGAACACCAGUGGCGAAGGCGGCUACCUGGACCAGCACUGACACUGAGGCACGAAAGCGUGGGGAGCAAACAGG